This 102-nucleotide small nuclear RNA is filed under the name Leucosporidium creatinivorum. Lineage: Eukaryota; Fungi; Basidiomycota; Microbotryomycetes; Leucosporidiales; Leucosporidiaceae. The record is from RNAcentral.
GCCACUCUUCGGGGUGUGCAUACAUUAAAAUUGGAACGAUACAGAGAAGAUUAGCAUGGCCCCUGCACAAGGAUGACACAUGGUUAGUAUUUCAAGAUGAUU